CAGUCGCCGCGGUAAUACAGAGGGUGCGAGCGUUAAUCGGAUUUACUGGGCGUAAAGCGUGCGUAGGCGGCUUCUUAAGUCGGAUGUGAAAUCCCUGAGCUUAACUUAGGAAUUGCAUUCGAUACUGGGAAGCUAGAGUAUGGGAGAGGAUGGUAGAAUUCCAGGUGUAGCGGUGAAAUGCGUAGAGAUCUGGAGGAAUACCGAUGGCGAAGGCAGCCAUCUGGCCUAAUACUGACGCUGAGGUACGAAAGCAUGGGGAGCAAACAGGAUUAGAUACCCGGGUAGUCCCUGUCUCUUAUAA
RNAcentral lists this ribosomal RNA (301 nucleotides) under uncultured bacterium. RNAcentral's name for it is "partial 16S ribosomal RNA". It matches the Rfam family "Bacterial small subunit ribosomal RNA", at positions 509 to 809 of the family's 1533-position model. The record is from RNAcentral.